GAUGAACGCUGGCGGCGUGCCUAAUACAUGCAAGUCGAGCGAACAGACGAGGAGCUUGCUCCUCUGACGUUAGCGGCGGACGGGUGGGUAACACGUGGAUAACCUACCUAUAAGACUGGGAUAACUUCGGGAAACCGGAGCUAAUACCGGAUAAUAUAUUGAACCGCAUGGUUCAAUAGUGAAAGACGGUUUUGCUGUCACUUAUAGAUGGAUCCGCGCCGCAUUAGCUAGUUGGUAAGGUAACGGCUUACCAAGGCAACGAUGCGUAGCCGACCUGAGAGGGUGAUCGGCCACACUGGAACUGAGACACGGUCCAGACCCCUACGGGAGGCAGCAGUAGGGAAUCUUCCGCAAUGGGCGAAAGCCUGACGGAGCAACGCCGCGUGAGUGAUGAAGGUCUUCGGAUCGUAAAACUCUGUUAUUAGGGAAGAACAAAUGUGUAAGUAACUAUGCACGUCUUGACGGUACCUAAUCAGAAAGCCACGGCUAACUACGUG
This 497-nucleotide ribosomal RNA is filed under the name uncultured bacterium. RNAcentral's name for it is "partial 16S ribosomal RNA". It matches the Rfam family "Bacterial small subunit ribosomal RNA", at positions 28 to 507 of the family's 1533-position model. The record is from RNAcentral.